Molecule: ribosomal RNA, 305 nt
Filed under: uncultured bacterium
Lineage: Bacteria
Description: bacterial SSU rRNA
Rfam family: Bacterial small subunit ribosomal RNA
Source: RNAcentral
CCUACGGGGGGCAGCAGUCGGGAAUAUUGCGCAAUGGAGGAAACUCUGACGCAGUGACGCCGCGUAUAGGAAGAAGGUUUUCGGAUUGUAAACUAUUGUCGUUAGGGAAGAGAAAGGACAGUACCUAAGGAGGAAGCUCCGGCUAACUACGUGCCAGCAGCCGCGGUAAUACGUAGGGAGCGAGCGUUAUCCGGAAUUAUUGGGUGUAAAGGGUGCGUAGACGGGAAAACAAGUUAGUUGUGAAAUCCCUCGGCUUAACUGAGGAACUGCAACUAAAACUAUUUUUCUUGAGUGCAGGAGAGGUA